This 1448-nucleotide long non-coding RNA is filed under the name Lathyrus oleraceus (garden pea). RNAcentral describes it as "Pisum sativum (pea) long non-coding RNA (PSAT_LNC005898)". Lineage: Eukaryota; Viridiplantae; Streptophyta; Magnoliopsida; Fabales; Fabaceae. The record is from RNAcentral.
AAAAUCUUAAAACAUCAACUCAUUUUCAAAUUGCUCUUCUCUCUCUUCAUUCAAGAACAAACACCACACUCUGCAAUUGAGCUUUCUUCUCCGAUCCAUCCUUGUCUGAGAAGACAGUGGUUACCGGCCAGGGACGGCGGCGCCACCUUCUUCUCUAGAGAACCACCACUAAAAAUCUAAAGCACUAACCCCCACACGUUUUCGGCCAAGGAUUACGAAUCUGACCUCAAACAACUCAAAAACUCAACCAAAAAACCUAGAUCGGAGAUUGAAUCCGAAAACUGUAACUUACAUAAAACAAAAUUAGAUCAUCAAACUUACGCAAAUCAAACAAUCACAUGAGGGGUAUGGAUCAACGAAGGGAGCUCUACACAUUGGUAACCACAAAAUGGCGAGAAGGGUUCAAAAAUUACCUAAUUAGAGCUAGUCCAAUGUAACUCCGGUGAUGGAAUGAUGGUAAAUAUUUCUUGAUUUUCGAUCUUUUCUCCCUCUUCUCUUCCACUUUCUACUUUUUCUUUGAUGCUUUUGUUUCUUGCUGCUUCAGUGAGGGUGAGGGUAAGCUCAGGUUUUUCUUAAGCUUUAAUGGAAAACUUUAAGAAAUCCUUUAUGUUUAGAGCUUUUAGUGAGGGACUUAAGGGAAUUCUUAUAGAGUUUCGGUGUAUAGAAUCCUCAAUGUAAAUGAAUGAGGGAGGUACUGUUAUAUAGGGGAUUGGUGAGUGUGUGACAUUUAUGUGAAUGAAAAUAUUAGGUGAUUGUUUGUGUCAGUUGAAUCAUGUGGAAUUUUUGUUUGAGAAAUAUGUGAGCUGGAUUAUUUGCAAUCAAUCGGUUAGAGAAAUCCCUGAUUUUAUGGGAUAGUUUGUGAGUGGAAUUUCGGAACACAUCCUUGUUUCUUUGCUGAGAUGGUUUUCAUUCACUUUUGUUUUUAGCUAAUGAUGUAUAUAUAUGAUGAUUAUGGUGUAUAUGCUGAUGGAACUCUGUAUUUCACAUAUGAAUUUUAUUGUAUGGUUCAUCAAAUAUUUUGGCUUUUACUAUUUUGCUCAUGAGUUUAAUCUAUAUGGCAUGUGUAUGAUGAUGGUGCUCAAAUUUUGUCUUGCUUUUAUUAUGGUAACUUUCGUGAACGAUGCUAACAGAAAUUCUACUUUUGCUUUGUGUACGCAACCAUGUGAGCUUUAUGGAAUGGUUAGGCUUGGCUUAGCUUGCAUAUGGGACAAGUAGAUUGUGGAGUGCAAGGAAUUGGCUUGCUGCUAUCGGGCUUGGCUUUGGAAUACUGGAGCUUGCCUUAUUUUCGCUUUUUCUACAUUUUAUUGACUCCAUAUGUAUUGAUGUAUACAAGGACAUAUGAAGUGUAAUAUGUAGGUAAUGAAAAUUGGAAAACAUGGACUAAUAUGAAUGUAAAACAAAAAUUCAAAUUGGAGUACAAUUCAUUUAAUUGUAAAAUAACAUUGUUU